RNAcentral lists this ribosomal RNA (253 nucleotides) under uncultured bacterium. Its description in RNAcentral is "partial 16S ribosomal RNA". It matches the Rfam family "Bacterial small subunit ribosomal RNA", at positions 524 to 776 of the family's 1533-position model. The record is from RNAcentral.
UACGUAGGGUGCGAGCGUUAAUCGGAAUUACUGGGCGUAAAGCGUGCGCAGGCGGUUCGUUAAGUUCGAUGUGAAAGCCCCGGGCUCAACCUGAGAACUGCAUUGGAAACUGGCGAGCUUGAAUGCGGCAGAGGGGGGUGGAAUUCCGCGUGUAGCAGUGAAAUGCGUAGAGAUGCGGAGGAACACCGAUGGCGAAGGCAGCCCCCUGGGCCGACAUUGACGCUCAGGCACGAAAGCGUGGGGAGCAAACAGG